This 105-nucleotide ribosomal RNA is filed under the name Propithecus coquereli (Coquerel's sifaka). Lineage: Eukaryota; Metazoa; Chordata; Mammalia; Primates; Indriidae. The record is from RNAcentral.
GUCUGUGGCCAUACCACCCUGAAUGCACUCAAUCUUGUCUGAUCUCAGAAGCUAAGCAGGGUUGGGCCUGGUUAGUGCUUGGAUGGGAGAAAAUAGCCAUAAUCU